UAGAGCAUAAUCGAUUAACUUAAUUGACUACUAAAACACGUAGUCGAUUAAGGGUCCAGCCUGGCGAAUUUUCCUACACGCGCCGUCCUCCGCGUGAUCUACUAAAAAAUCCUAGACCUGUGAUACGAACCACGCCAACAUCGUGACGAGACCCGGUAUCAAUACUUCGGAUUUCAAAUCCUGGACCGUCCAAAGAAGGAAUCAAAGGUGGAACCUCGACCCAUUGCCUAUAAAGAGGCAAGAACCUUGGUAUGCGAAGACGCCACAAUCAAUUGCGGAAGAUUGAUUGAUGAGUCAGGGGCGAACGCCACGGAGAGCAACUCCGAUAAGUUCAUUUAAAAAAAAACAAUGGUUCUUGAAGAACCGAAGAGACACACUCUUAUCCAAAGAUUUUAAUACAUUGUUGUGUCUUUUUAUUCAAACAAGAUGAUCCCUUUAUAUAGGGUUCAAUGCUAUCUUAUCUACGGAAAGAAACUAAGAACUAGGAAUUAUUAUCUACCUAAUCAAAUCAGCCACAAAUCAGCCAAUCUAAUUAACAUUUAUUGAAUCUAAAUUAAGAAAGCUUUUAAAAUCAUGGUCUUGAUCCUCCAAUGCUGAUAUGCACUAAUCAAGAGCCCUCCAAACUCCAAAAAACGUGUGCAUGUUUUAUUUUGUAAAUCUUGGACCUUCCAAAGCCUUAAAAAUAUGUGAUUGCAUCAAUUAGAACAAUCCAAGAUUGAUAUCUUUGUGGAUGAAGCCUCUCAUAUCUGAUCUGGACCAAUUUAAAAAUCUGAAUCGAAAACCGUUAAAAUCGUUGAUUGCUUGAUGUGAUUGGGAUCACAUCAUACUCCCUUUCUUCAAAAAGAAUUCGUCCUCGAAUUCGGUUCCUUGGAAUGAGCGUGUAUGAUUGGAAACGAAUCCAUGAGGCUGAAAGGUGUUUGGUAGAAAUUGGUACUGUUUUUUUUUUUUUUUUUUUUUUUUUUGAUAAUGGACUCUAGAAGAACAAAGAUAGAUAAGGAGUAGAAGAACUGGGAUAACUCAAGAACGUAGAAGAAGAUAAUUUAGGGAAGACCAAAAGACUCAAACAAAAAAAAAACAAAGGAAAAAAAAAAGACUCAAAAGGAUAGGCGAAACCUUCUCCGGAAGUUGGCUCUGAUACCAAAUGAUACGAACCACGCCAACAUCGUGACGAGACCCGGUAUCAAUACUUCGGAUUUCAAAUCCUGGACCGUCCAAAGAAGGAAUCAAAGGUGGAACCUCGACCCAUUGCCUAUAAAGAGGCAAGAACCUUGGUAUGCGAAGACGCCACAAUCAAUUGCGGAAGAUUGAUUGAUGAGUCAGGGGCGAACGCCACGGAGAGAAACUCCGAUAAGUUCAUUUAAAAAAAAACAAUGGUUCUUGAAGAACCGAAGAGACACACUCUUAUCCAAAGAUUUUAAUACAUUGUUGUGUCUUUUUAUUCAAACAAGAUGAUCCCUUUAUAUAGGGUUCAAUGCUAUCUUAUCUACGGAAAGAAACUAAGAACUAGGAAUUAUUAUCUACCUAACCAAAUCAGCCACAAAUCAGCCAAUCUAAUUAACAUUUAUUGAAUCUAAAUUAAGAAAGCUUUUAAAAUCAUGGUCUUGAUCCUCCAAUGCUGAUAUGCACUAAUCAAGAGCCCUCCAAACUCCAAAAAACGUGUGCAUGUUUUAUUUUGUAAAUCUUGGACCUUCCAAAGCCUUAAAAAUAUGUGAUUGCAUCAAUUAGAACAAUCCAAGAUUGAUAUCUUUGUGGAUGAAGCCUCUCAUAUCUGAUCUGGACCAAUUGAAAAAUCUGAAUCGAAAACCGUUAAAAUCGUUGAUUGCUUGAUGUGAUUGGGAUCACA
RNAcentral lists this long non-coding RNA (1843 nucleotides) under Erythranthe guttata (spotted monkey flower). RNAcentral describes it as "long non-coding RNA (EGUT_LNC002878)". The record is from RNAcentral. Lineage: Eukaryota; Viridiplantae; Streptophyta; Magnoliopsida; Lamiales; Phrymaceae.